This 253-nucleotide ribosomal RNA is filed under the name uncultured bacterium. RNAcentral's name for it is "partial 16S ribosomal RNA". It matches the Rfam family "Bacterial small subunit ribosomal RNA", at positions 524 to 776 of the family's 1533-position model. The record is from RNAcentral.
UACAGAGGGGGCAAGCGUUGUUCGGAAUUACUGGGCGUAAAGGGCGCGUAGGCGGCCUUCUAAGUCGAACGUGAAAUCCCCGGGCUCAACCCGGGAACUGCGUCCGAUACUGGAAGGCUUGAAUCCGGGAGAGGGAUGCGGAAUUCCAGGUGUAGCGGUGAAAUGCGUAGAUAUCAGGAGGAACACCUGCGGUGUAGACGGCUUACUGGACCAUAACUGACGCUGAGGCACGAAAGCGUGGGUAGCAAACAGG